RNAcentral lists this unclassified non-coding RNA (3922 nucleotides) under Hevea brasiliensis (rubber tree). The record is from RNAcentral. Lineage: Eukaryota; Viridiplantae; Streptophyta; Magnoliopsida; Malpighiales; Euphorbiaceae.
CUUUCUUUCUUUCUUUCUUUCUCUGUUUUGAAGUGGAGCUCAGGUGAGGUGGCAUCUCUUCUAUCGGUGGAUCUACAUUGCUAUAUAAUAAUGUUUAAUCCAAUGAUAUGAUACCACGUAAUUGCUGUUUUGCUUUGCUGGCAUGCCACGACAGGUUCUAGCACUUCAUUCACAAUAUAAAAUGGAAACGUGGAUAAUGGCGGGUUCUGUCCUGAAAGUUCUUGAUCUGUGAAGAGAAGGAUGGAGGGUUCGACGGUUUCAGGGGUAGAAUGGGUAUAAGGAAGAGAAUUUCAAUUUUAACGGUGGAGAUUCGAACACCGGGUGAACAGGGUUAUGGGGAAACGUAUUAUAGUAUUCCCUGAAGAAUUUCUAUUUAUUAUAAAUGUUUGUCUGAUCAAUGACAUCAUUAAUUGUCGCUAGAAAUCCUCCAAGCAAUUACUUGAGUCUAAAUCAAAUCUCUAAUCCCAUCUAUAAAUGGGAAUUCUAAUCACCUGAAUCUAAACAAGCCAAAGCUCUAAAUGAAAAUUCAAAAUUAAAAAAAAAAUAAAAAGGAAAAAAGAGUACAUUUUUUAGUUGGCGAUUGGAUGAUUUCUUCCGAUAAUAUACACCAAUUAGCAAUCCAAUCUAACGAAAUGGAGCAAGAGGGUUUGGACUAUUAGGCACUUUCAGGCUCCUAAGCUCUUUACACACAUGAUCUAACAUCCCCAGAAAAUCUCUAACAAUCACAAAAAUACGAAGUGGGUUAGCUUCUUCUUUGCUCACAUCUCCAUGAAAGUACUCAGUAAUUUCUCUAACAUGUAAUAGUACUCUAUGUUCAUCUUCCUGCAACUCCUUCAGAUUCCUUUCCGCAUAUUUUAUGAAUAUUUUCAUUGAAUGAACAAAAUUUCCACUCUUUUCAUCUGCCAACAAGUCCUUGAGUGCUAGAUGCUGCAGUUUAGCCAUUCCUUCUGAAAGGUUUGAGACUGAACUUGCAAGAACGUCCAAGUCAAUUGUAGCUGUUUUCUUGACAUUGUAAAGUUCUGUACUUAGACCUGACACAAGCUCUAAACCCAUUCUUCUGUAAUCUUCUUCCUUUUGUUCAAUGGUCUUGCUUUUGUUCUUCUGAUUAAUCCUUCCCAUAAUGCUAUCUGAUACUCGGAUCCCUUCUGACCGAAUUAUUUCUUGGACUACAAAAUGGAGUAAGGUAGUUUUCCCAUCUUUUCCCUUCACAUCAGAAAGUUUAAGGAGAGCAUCAAGCUUGAAUGCCCUAGCACCUCCUCUAAUUGUUCCAACGUUCAUACGAUUGCCUGUUUUGAGUACUGCUUCGAGUAACUUCAAGAAAAGCCUACUUGACCUGAGUUCUUUGCAGGCCUCCUAAUGAAAAAUAGAAUAAGAGACGGGCACAAGUUGUAUUGAAAUAUUGGUUUUAAUAAAACACACAACUAAUAACUGGUUUGCUGUGCGGUUUGAUCAGUUACCUCCAGCAUUGAGAAAGAAUUUCUCAGAUGAACCACCUCAUCUUCAAAAGUUUCUCUAUAAAGCAUUGCUUCAACUCUUAGAAAGGCAAAUGGUAUGGUAAGUGCCACUUUAACAAACUUUUCCGCAAAACCCAAUUCAUUGAUGUCUCCUUUAUAGUCUGCAAGCUUAGCCUCUUCUUCCUUGGUGGGUUCCAUCUUUUUCAGUGCCUCUAGUUGUUGUAAACACAAGCCAUCCCCUCUUAUUAAUGCUUCACAUACUUGCUCAGGAGUUGCAUUCAAGGCUUUUGAGAGUAUGGUUAAGUUCUGCAGUCUCUUUGGCUCUAGGACAUGCUUGCUUGGAGAUGGGGUUUUGCUCUUUGCUUCAUCAUUCUUCAUUGUACCUUUUAAGUUGUAUCCAAAAAGAGAUUCAAUCAUCUCCUCAUCUAACUCGAAUGAGCUUGAUCUUAUCUUGUCCCACACCAUACUACGAUCUGGUGCAGCUCUAACUUUGUCCCAAUGAAGAGGCUUUAAUUUUGGAAGGGGAGCUCCAUCUUUUCCAAAUUGUGCAUGUUGAGGAAGUUGAGAUGGUGGAGGAGGUGGGCCUUUGGCAAAGCUAGUAUUUCCUGGUAGAAAUGGAGGUGGGCAUGGUGGAAGAGGGAUGCUCGAUCGAGCUUGUGAAGUCUCGGGAGAUUUCUGGGGUGAUGACAGCAAGUCAUUUUGAGAUUUCUGGUUUGAUCCUGAAGAAGAAUCUGACUUCCUAGGAGAUGAUAAAUUUGUCAAAGGAGAAGAACAUGAAGCUUUAUCUGUAUUUCUGGUAGACCACGAAGGUGUGCGCGAAGGAAGGAAGCGCAUACUUGGUGUCAAGGCAGGUCGAGGCGGAGGUGGAGGUGGGGAUGGAGGUGCAAAAUUCUCAUCAGAAUCUAAAGGAGAUGAAACUGUGAGAUUUUCUGCUCUGAAAAUUUCUGGAGAUUGAGGAAAAUUUGCUUGUAAAUUCAAAGCAGGAGUUGAGAUGCAUUCUGAAGUUGCUUGUGGAAUGUCUAAUUUUUUGGAAGAAGUUAGAGGAGAUGGUGGUGUCAUAGUCACAAUUGAAUGGGAUAUUUCUGACAUGUCACUAAGACUGCCAGCUGAAGCAUUGGAAAACCUGAUAUGAGAUGAACGUGAAUCAACAAAAGAAUGAAAAGACUCAUCAUCAGAGGAAUGGCCUUCAAUGGGAAUAACUUCAUCCUCGGGGAAAAAAUUUCCACCAUCAGAUUCAUACUUAAGAGAUUCUACAUCCCCAUGAACAGACAUGAUUUCCCUUGUGGAAGAACUACUAGCAUUGUCAAAUUCUGAUUUUAUUAUCAAUUCUUGGUUUGAUUCCUUCCCCUCGUGAAAUGCACAUUUUGGCAUGCUAUGAUUUGAUGAUGUAUCUAAUGCUUCAGUAGUUUGUUUAAGGCAAGUAUUAUGUUGCUCUAAAUCUCUUUCUAAUGAAUUGAGAUACAAUAGAUCAAGGCCAGGAUUUAAGCUCACCUUUCUUGCUGACUUUUGGGAAAAUAUAUACUUAGAUUUACCGAUGGUUCUUCCCUUUUUCUUGUAGACCGACAUCAGUCUUGCAGAUAUUCUUUUGUUCUUUUUGAAUUUUCCAGAGACCCAGAUAAGCCCAAGAACGCAGACAAUGAAGGCAACUCCUGCUGACACAAGAAUUGCUGCUAGAAUUAUUCUAAAUUUGCCAUCAUCCCUGUGCUUCAUUAGAGUGCUGUGCGCUGGUGGGAUUGAAUUUGAGUGAUGUGAUGGAGGAUGGGAGUGUACUUGGAUUGGCAACACAGAAACAGGAGGUGGAGCCUCAGCUUCCAUGAUGGGUGAAGGAGAUGGUGCUGGUGACACAAAUUCACUUGGUGGGCUUCUUGUUUUGUAGCUUUUCAAUCCAAGUAAAGCCCUGAAUUUUUGCACAAUCAAAGUUUCUUUUUCGUCAUUCUCGUCCUUUCCUGAAACUUUCUCAAUCUGCUUCUCAUUACCAUCUUCACUUUCCUCCCUGAAAUCCAACUUUUGUAGGCUGUGAACUUUGAAGCACUCUGCUGCAACCAAUGAAGCAUCAGCAAUAAAAAUGUGGGUACUUCGUAAUGAUAAGAACAUGAAAAUGGUUAUAAUGAGGAAGAUCAUGUGGAGAAUCUGAUAAGAAGAGCCCAUGUUCUUCAACCAGAAAUCAACAAAGCAUCAAUAUCUUUCUGCUUACAAAACAACAUUUAUUUUUGGGUGGUGUAGGUACUGUGCAAGGAAGAACAGGUAUUUCAAUCUUUAAUGCUACUCCAAGGAAUCACUGUCCAUGGCAGUUAGAGUUGUACUGGAUCUUCUUUAAUCUUUACUUUUCUAUUCACGCACUCUUAUCUCCUCACCUCCAUAAAUUGUCCUGCAAACCACAAUUUGUCUUUAGGAGGCUGUCAUUAUUUUUCAUUUCUUGAUUCUCUUUCUUAUGUGAUUGUUACUUUCUUGUAUGCUCUUUGUUAGAG